AUAUCGCGCAAUGGUGGGAACUCUGACGCAGCGACGCCGCGUGAGCGAUGAAGUUCAUCGUAUCGUAAAGUUCUGUCCUCGGGGAAGAAGUUCUUCGGACUUGACGGUCCCUAAGUAUGUACCCCCGGCUAACUACGUUCCAGCAGCCGCGGUAAUACGUCGGGGGCAAGCGUUGUCCGGAAUUAUUGGGCGUAAAUGGUGCGUAGGCGGCCUUUUAAGUCAGAUGUGAAAACCCACGGCUUAACCGUGGGACUGCAUUUGAAGCUGGAGGGCUUGAGUAUCGGAGAGGGUAGUGGAAUUCCCAGUGUAGCGGUGGAAUGCGUAGAUAUUGAGAGGAACACCAGUGGCGAAGGCGACUACCUGGACGAAAACUGACGCUGAGGCACGAAAGCUAGGGGAGCAAACA
Molecule: ribosomal RNA, 406 nt
Filed under: uncultured bacterium
Lineage: Bacteria
Description: partial 16S ribosomal RNA
Rfam family: Bacterial small subunit ribosomal RNA
Source: RNAcentral